CGCGUUCCCAUCCCGAACACGACCGUUAAGCCCUCCAGCGCCGAUGGUACUUGGACCGCAGGGUCCUGGAAGAGUAGGACGUCGCCAAGC
This 90-nucleotide ribosomal RNA is filed under the name Paenibacillus sp. OV219. The record is from RNAcentral. Lineage: Bacteria; Bacillati; Bacillota; Bacilli; Caryophanales; Paenibacillaceae.